ACCAAAAAUCUAGCCUAUAACAACCCUAUACCUACCCCCUCCCAUAUUUAUAAAAUAAAACAUUUUAACUUUCUAGUAGAGGAGAUCAAAAAAUAUAUAAGCGCUUAAGAUGAAGUACCGAAAGGGAAACAUGAAAUAAAAAUGAAAUAAACUUAAAGUUAACUAAAGCAGAGAUUCAAACUCGUACCUUUUGCAUCAUGGUCCAGCCAGUCCACCCAAGCAAAACGAAAUUUUAGUUUGGCCCCCCGAAACUAAGCGAGCUACUUCAAAACAGCUUUUAGAGCCAACCCGUCUCUGUAGCAAUAGAGUGGGAAGAUUUUCAAGUAGAAGUGACAAGCCUAACGAGCUUAAAGAUAGCUGGUUAUUCAGGAAAAGAAUUUUAGUUCUGCCUUAAAUUUUUAUAUGCCACCAAACAAAAUCAAAAAUUUAAGAGUUAUUCAACUAAGGCACAGCUUAUUUGAAACAGGAUACAACCUACACUUUCGGGUAAACAUUAAACACCAUGUAAAGUGGGCCUAAGAGCAGCCAUCUUUCAAAAAGCGUUAAAGCUUAGCCAAUUUUAUUAUUAAAUACCACAAACCACAUUGAACCCACACCCACUACUGAAUGACCCCAUAAAUAUAUGGAAAACAUCAUGCUGGAACUAGUAACAAGAAUCUAAUAUUCUCCAAAAUGCAAGCAUAAACCAGGAUGGAUAAACCACCGGUCAUUAACGAAAAUGAACAAAUUACAGUAACAUAACAAGAAAACCCUGUACAUCCCACCCGUUAACCUAACACCAGAGCAUCUCCGGAAAGAUUAAAAGAGAAAGAAGGAACUCGGCAAACUUCAGCCCCGCCUGUUUACCAAAAACAUCGCCUCUUGAUAACUCAUAAGAGGUCCAGCCUGCCCAGUGAGCAUUAAACGGCCGCGGUAUCCUAACCACGCGAAGGUAGCAUAAUCACUUGUUCUUUAAAUAGGGACUAGUAUCAACGGCAUCACGAGGGCUGCACUGUCUCCUCUCUCUAAUCAGUGAAACUGAUCUCCCCGUGAAGAAGCGGGGAUACCACUAUAAGACGAGAAGACCCCAUGGAGCUUUAAAUCUCACAGCAAUUCUGCCACAUAACUCCUCAUAAUAAACAGAACCCUGCACGUCGGUUUUAGGUUGGGGCGACCGCGGAGCAAAAAUAACCCUCCACGACGAAAAGAACUAAAUCUUUAUCUAAGGGCCACACCCCUAAGAAUUAGCAUACUAACGAACAAUGACCCGAUAUUCGAUCAACGGAUCAAGUUACCCUGGGGAUAACAGCGCAAUCUACUUCAAGAGCCCAUAUCGACAAGUAGGCUUACGACCUCGAUGUUGGAUCAGGGUAUCCCAGUGGUGCAGCCG
RNAcentral lists this ribosomal RNA (1369 nucleotides) under Rhacophorus translineatus (cross-barred treefrog). RNAcentral's name for it is "partial 16S ribosomal RNA". It matches the Rfam family "Bacterial large subunit ribosomal RNA", at positions 410 to 2561 of the family's 2925-position model. Lineage: Eukaryota; Metazoa; Chordata; Amphibia; Anura; Rhacophoridae. The record is from RNAcentral.